GCUUGCAAACUUUAGAUGGCGACCGGCGCACGGGUGAGUAACACGUAUCCAAACCUGCCGAUAACUCGGGGAUAGCCUUUCGAAAGAAAGAUUAAUACCCGAUGGUAUAUUUUCACCGCAUGGUGAAACUAUUAAAGAAUUUCGGUUAUCGAUGGGGAUGCGUUCCAUUAGGCAGUUGGUGAGGUAACGGCUCACCAAACCUUCGAUGGAUAGGGGUUCUGAGAGGAAGGUCCCCCACAUUGGAACUGAGACACGGUCCAAACUCCUACGGGAGGCAGCAGUGAGGAAUAUUGGUCAAUGGGCGCGAGCCUGAACCAGCCAAGUAGCGUGAAGGAUGACGGCCCUAUGGGUUGUAAACUUCUUUUAUAUGGGAAUAAAGUUUGGUAUGCAUACCAUUUUGUAUGUACCAUAUGAAUAAGGAUCGGCUAACUCCGUGCCAGCAGCCGCGGUAAUACGGAGGAUCCGAGCGUUAUCCGGAUUUAUUGGGUUUAAAGGGAGCGUAGGUGGAUUGUUAAGUCAGUUGUGAAAGUUUGCGGCUCAACCGUAAAAUUGCAGUUGAAACUGGCAGUCUUGAGUACAGUAGAGGUGGGCGGAAUUCGUGGUGUAGCGGUGAAAUGCUUAGAUAUCACGAAGAACUCCGAUUGCGAAGGCAGCUCACUGGACUGUUGACUGACACUGAGGCUCGAA
Molecule: ribosomal RNA, 687 nt
Filed under: uncultured Bacteroidales bacterium
Lineage: Bacteria; Pseudomonadati; Bacteroidota; Bacteroidia; Bacteroidales
Description: bacterial SSU rRNA
Rfam family: Bacterial small subunit ribosomal RNA
Source: RNAcentral